RNAcentral lists this ribosomal RNA (428 nucleotides) under uncultured bacterium. RNAcentral's name for it is "partial 16S ribosomal RNA". It matches the Rfam family "Bacterial small subunit ribosomal RNA", at positions 354 to 796 of the family's 1533-position model. The record is from RNAcentral.
GUGGGGAAUAUUGGGCAAUGGGCGCAAGCCUGACCCAGCAACGCCGCGUGAAGGAAGAAGGCUUUCGGGUUGUAAACUUCUUUGACAGGGGACGAAACAAAUGACGGUACCCUGAAAACAAGCCACGGCUAACUACGUGCCAGCAGCCGCGGUAAUACGUAGGUGGCAAGCGUUAUCCGGAUUUACUGGGUGUAAAGGGCGUGUAGGCGGGAUUACAAGUCAGAUGUGAAAACUAUGGGCUCAACCCAUAGCCUGCAUUUGAAACUGUAGUUCUUGAGUGAUGGAGAGGCAGACGGAAUUCCUCGUGUAGCGGUGAAAUGCGUAGAUAUGAGGAGGAACACCAGUGGCGAAGGCGGUCUGCUGGACAUUAACUGACGCUGAGGCGCGAAAGCGUGGGGAGCAAACAGGAUUAGAAACCCCGGUAGUCC